UACGAAGGGGGCUAGCGUUGCUCGGAAUCACUGGGCGUAAAGCGCACGUAGGCGGAUCGUUAAGUCAGGGGUGAAAUCCUGGAGCUCAACUCCAGAACUGCCUUUGAUACUGGCGGCCUUGAGUUCGGGAGAGGUGAGUGGAACUGCGAGUGUAGAGGUGAAAUUCGUAGAUAUUCGCAAGAACACCAGUGGCGAAGGCGGCUCACUGGCCCGAUACUGACGCUGAGGUGCGAAAGCGUGGGGAGCAAACAGG
RNAcentral lists this ribosomal RNA (253 nucleotides) under uncultured bacterium. RNAcentral describes it as "partial 16S ribosomal RNA". It matches the Rfam family "Bacterial small subunit ribosomal RNA", at positions 524 to 776 of the family's 1533-position model. The record is from RNAcentral.